UCCAGACUCCUACGGGAGGCAGCAGUGGGGGAUAUUGCACAAUGGGGGAAACCCUGAUGCAGCGACGCCGCGUGGGUGAAGAAGCGCCUCGGCGCGUAAAGCCCUGUCAGCAGGGAAGAAAAUGACGGUACCUGAAGAAGAAGCCCCGGCUAACUACGUGCCAGCAGCCGCGGUAAUACGUAGGGGGCGAGCGUUAUCCGGAUUCACUGGGUGUAAAGGGAGCGUAGACGGCCAUGCAAGCCAGGGGUGAAAGCCCGGGGCCCAACCCCGGGACUGCCCUUGGAACUGCAUGGCUGGAGUGCGGGAGGGGCAGGCGGAAUUCCUGGUGUAGCGGUGAAAUGCGUAGAUAUCAGGAGGAACACCGGCGGCGAAGGCGGCCUGCUGGACCGCGACUGACGUUGAGGCUCGAAAGCGUGGGGAGCGAACAGGAUUAGAUACCCGAGUA
This 445-nucleotide ribosomal RNA is filed under the name uncultured bacterium. RNAcentral describes it as "bacterial SSU rRNA". It matches the Rfam family "Bacterial small subunit ribosomal RNA", at positions 330 to 792 of the family's 1533-position model. The record is from RNAcentral.